AGAGUUUGAUCCUGGCUCACGGACGAACGCUGGCGGCGUGCCUAACACAUGCAAGUCGAGCGAUGAAGCUCCUUCGGGAGUGGAUUAGCGGCGGACGGGUGAGUAACACGUGGGCAACCUGCCUCAAAGUGGGGAAUAGCCCUCCGAAAGGAGGAUUAAUACCUCAUAAUAUGAAGGAAUCGCACGGUACCUUCAUUAAAGAUUUAUUGCUUUGAGAUGGGCCCGCGGCGCAUUAGCUAGUUGGUGAGGUAACGGCUCACCAAGGCGACGAUGCGUAGCCGACCUGAGAGGGUGAUCGGCCACAUUGGAACUGAGACACGGUCCAGACUCCUACGGGAGGCAGCAGUGGGGAAUAUUGCGCAAUGGGGGGAACCCUGACGCAGCAACGCCGCGUGAGUGAUGAAGGUCUUCGGAUUGUAAAACUCUGUCUUCAGGGACGAUAAUGACGGUACCUGAGGAGGAAGCCACGGCUAACUACGUGCCAGCAGCCGCGGUAAA
This 498-nucleotide ribosomal RNA is filed under the name uncultured bacterium. Its description in RNAcentral is "bacterial SSU rRNA". It matches the Rfam family "Bacterial small subunit ribosomal RNA", at positions 8 to 524 of the family's 1533-position model. The record is from RNAcentral.